AGCCAGUGAUGACAGACUAACUUUUCUGACACCUCGUAUGAGAGCUGCGGUUCAGCUCCUGAUUCCAAUGCUGAUCUGAGGCUC
Molecule: small nucleolar RNA, 84 nt
Organism: Thalassophryne amazonica
Lineage: Eukaryota; Metazoa; Chordata; Actinopteri; Batrachoidiformes; Batrachoididae
Product: small nucleolar RNA SNORD60
Exons: 1
Source: RefSeq, a predicted model, not a curated record